This 3542-nucleotide ribosomal RNA is filed under the name Hevea brasiliensis (rubber tree). RNAcentral describes it as "eukaryotic LSU rRNA". It matches the Rfam family "Eukaryotic large subunit ribosomal RNA". The record is from RNAcentral. Lineage: Eukaryota; Viridiplantae; Streptophyta; Magnoliopsida; Malpighiales; Euphorbiaceae.
GGCGACCCAGGUCAGGCGGGAACACCCGCUGAUUUAAAGCAUAUCAAAAGGCGGAGGAAAAAAGAACUUACAGGAUUCCCCUAGUAACGGCGAGCGAACCGGGAAGAGCCAGCUUGAGAAUCGGGCGCCCUCGGCGUCCGAAUUGUAGUCUGGAAAGCGUCCCCCAGCGGCGGACCGGGCCCGAAAGUCCCCUGGAAGGGGGCGCCGGGAAGAGGGUGAGAGCCCCGUCGUGCCCGACCACUGUCGCCACCACGAGGCGCUGUCUGCGAGUCCGGUUGUUUGGGAAUGCAGCCCAAUCGGCGGUAAAUUCCGUCCAAGGCUUAAAUACGGUGGCGAGGACCGAAAGCGAACAAAGUACCCCCGCGAGGAAAGAUGAAAAGGACUUUGAAAAGAGGGGAGUCAAAAGAGUGGCUUUGAAUUGUCGGGAGGGGAAAGGCGGAUGGGGGCCGGCGAUGCGCCCGGUCGGCAUGUGGAAACGGCGACAAGCCGGUCCGCCGAUCGUUGCUCGGGGCGCGACCGACGCGGAUCGCGGCGGCGGCCCAGCCCGGGCAAUGAGACGGCCCGCGGAGACGUGGUACGACGCCGUCGCGCGAUCGUGGACAUCAAAGCGCCGCAGCCGUCACGGCGUGCCCCCGGCACCGCCGCGCUCCUGCGUCGCCAGCGGGCCUCCCCAUUCGGCCCGUCUUGAAACACGGACCAAAGGAGGUCUGACGAUGUGUGCGAGCUCAACAGCGGGCGAGUAAACCGUAAGGCGCAAGGGAAGUGACUGGCGGGAUCCCCUCCGAGGGUUUGCACCGCGCCGACCGACCGUCAGAUCUUCUGACGAAGAGGUUCGAGUGAGAAGCAUGCCUGUCGGGAAACCCGAACAGAUGGGUGAACCUAUGCCUGACGGGCGAAGACCAGAGGAAACUCUGGUGGAGGCCGCGCAGCGAUACUUUGACGUUGCAAUCGUCAUACCUGACUUGGGUAUAGGGGCGAAAAAGACUAACGAACCCGUCUAGUAGCUGGUUCCCUCCGAAGUUUCCCUCAGGAAGUAGCUGGAGCCUCGGACGAAGUUUCUAUCGGUAAAGCAAGUUAGGCCAUCGGGGGCGACGCCCUCAGACCUAUUCUCAAACUUUAAAUAGUAGGCACGGCGCGGCUGCUAUCGGAUGAGCGGCGCCAGCGGAAUCGAGAGCUCCAGUGGGCCAUUUUUGGUAAGACAGAACUGGCGAUUCUGCGGGAUGAACGCGGAAGCCGGGUUACGGUGGCGCCAACUGCGGCGCUAACCCAGAACCCACAAAAGGGGUUGGGUCGAAUUAAAGAAGCAGGACGGUGGUCAUGGAAUAGUCGAAAUCCGCUAAGGGAGUGUGUAACAACUCACCUGCCGAAUCAACUAGCCCCGAAAAUGAUGGCGCUUAAGCGCCGCGACUAAUACCCAGGCCACGUCGGGGCAGAAGCCAGGCCGCCGAUGAAGUUAGGAAAGGGCGCGGCGGCCGCUGCAAAACCCGGGGCGCGAGCCCGGCGGAGCGGACGUUCGGUGCAGAUCUGGUGGUAGUAGCAAAUAUUCAAAAUGAGAACUUUGAAGGCACGAAGAGGGGAAAGGUUCCAUGUGAACGGCACUUGCACAUGGGUUAAGUCGAUCCUAAAAGAGACGGGGAGCCCGGUCCGACAAGCGCGUCCGCGCGCUGGACCUUCGAAAGGGAAAUCGGGUUAAAAUUCCCAGAACCGGGACGCGGCGGCUGACGGCACCACACCACCUAGGGUUAGUCCGGAGAACGAUCGCGGGGCCGGGAAGAGUUAUCUUUCUUGUUUUAACAAGCACCGCCCACCCUGGAAACGACUCAGUCCCGGAGGUAGGGUCCAGCGGCCGGAAAGAGCACGCACGUCGCGCGGUGUCCGGUGCGCCCGCCGGCGGCGCGUGAAAAUCCGGAGGACCGAGUGCCUCCCGCGCCGGUCGUACCUCAUAACCGCAUUCAGGUCUCUCAAGGUGAAACACCUCUGGCCAAUGGAGCAAAUGUGGCAAGGGAGUCGGACAAAAACGGAUCCGUAACCUCGGAAAAGGGAUUGGCUCUGAGGGCUGGCCGGGGCCCCCAGUCCCGAACCCGUCGGCUGUCGCGACUGCUCGAGCUGCUCCCCGCGGCGAAGAGCGGUCGCGCGUCCGGCCGUGGGACGGACUGGGGAACGACCCCCCCGCCCCUCCGGGGGCCUUCCCCGGGCGUCGAAACAGUCCGCUCAGAACUGGUACGGACAAGGGGAACCGACUGUUUAAUUAAAAAAAAGCAUUGGAUGGUCCCUGCGGAUCUCACGCAAUGGUGUUUCCUGGCCAGUGGCUCUAAUCAGUCAAAGUGAAGAAAUUUCAACCAAGCGCGGCGUUAAGCGGCGGGAGUAACUAUGACUCUCUUAAGGUAGCCAAAUGCCCUCGUCAUCUAAUUAGUGACGCGCAUGAAAUGGAUUAACGAGAUCCCACUCGUCCCUGUCUACUAUCACAGCGAAACCACAGCCAAGGAACAGGGCUUGGCGGAAUCUAGCGGGGAACAGAAGACCCUGUGAAGCUUGACUCUAGUCCCGACUUUGUGAAUGACUUUGAGAGGUGUAGGAUAAGUGGGAGCCGGAAACGGCGACCGGUGGGAAGAUACCACUCACUUUUUAACGUUAUUUUACUUAUUCCGGAAUCGUAGGCGGGGGCCUCGGCCCCCUUUUUGGACGCAAGGCCGCCACGGCGGCGCCGAUCCGGGCGGAAGACAUUGUCAGGUGGGGAGUUUGGCUUGGGCGGCACAUCUUGUAAAAGAUAACGCAGUGUCCUAAGAUGAGCUCACGAGAAACAGAAAUCUCGUGUGAAACAAAGGGUAAAAGCUCGUUUGAUUUCUGAUUUCAAUACAAUACGGAACCGUGAAAGCGUGGCCUAUCGAUCCUUUAGACCUUCGGAAUUUGAAGCUAGAGGUGUCAGAAAAGUUACGCAAACAGGGAUAACUGGCUUGUGCAGCCAAAAGCGUUCAUUGAGCGACAGUUGCUUUUUUGAAUCCUUCGAUGUCGGCUCUUCUUCAUUGUGAAGCAGAAUUCCACCAGAGUGUUGAUUGUUCACCCACCAAUAGGGAACGUGAAGCCUGGGUUUAGAACCGUCGUGAGAACAGGUUUUUAGUUUUACCCUACUGAUGACCGCGUCAGCGAUGGGUAAUUCAACCUAGUACGAGAGGACCGUUGAUUCGCACAACAAUUGGUCAUCGCGGCUUGGUUGAAAAGCCAGGGCGCGAAAAGCUACCGUGCGCUGGAAUUAUGACUGAACGCCUCUAAGUCAAGAAUCCCGGGCCAGAAGCGACCCCAGUGUCCGGCGCCCGCUUGCCGACGCCGCAGUAGGGGCCCUCGCGGCCCCCAGAGGCACUGCCGUUGGCCUAAGCCCCCGCGGCGACGAGCCGCGCGGCCGCCUUGAAGUACUAUUCCCGACGGGCGUCGGGCAGAAAUCCUUUGCAAGACGACUUAAAUACGCGACGGGGGUAUUGUAAGUGCAGAGUGGCCUUGGCUGCCACGAUCCACUGAGAUUCAGUCCCUUUGUCGCUCCGUUCGUC